CAAUAGCAUAUAUUAACGUUGUUGCAGUUGAAAAGCUCGUAGUUGAACUUUUGGUAGGAGCGACCUGGCCUUGGGCGCAUGCCCUUGUUUGCCGUGUGUCGUGUCUGGCCAUCCUUUUCCGCUUCGGCGGGAAUCUUUUACUGUGAGUAGACUGGAGUGCUCAAAACAAGACGUUUGUUUGGUACAUUAAAGCAUGGAAUAAUAAGAUAGGACCUGGUUACUAUUUUGUUGGUUUGCAUAGCUAGGUAAUGAUUAACAGGGACAGUUGGGGGUAUUCGUAUUUAAUUGUCAGAGGUGAAAUUCUUGGAUUUAUGAAAGACGAACGACUGCGAAAGCAUUUACCAAGGAUGUUUUCAUUAA
Molecule: ribosomal RNA, 360 nt
Filed under: uncultured eukaryote
Lineage: Eukaryota
Description: partial 18S ribosomal RNA
Rfam family: Eukaryotic small subunit ribosomal RNA
Source: RNAcentral